RNAcentral lists this ribosomal RNA (1328 nucleotides) under metagenome. RNAcentral's name for it is "SSU rRNA". It matches the Rfam family "Eukaryotic small subunit ribosomal RNA", at positions 603 to 1772 of the family's 1831-position model. The record is from RNAcentral.
AUUAAAGUUGCUGCGGUUAAAAAGCUCGUAGUUGGAUUACGAAGUGGUGUUUAAAUGUCAUUUUGGUUUGUUUGUCUUUCGGGGCAUUCAGGUCAACUUGGCUUUUACUCACUGUUGUCAUUGUCUUUGCCCAAGGUAUAUGCCUUGUGUGCAUGGCAUUGACCUUCUAUUUUAUGGUAAUGUUGUAUCUUUCGGGGUACAUUCAUUCCAUAUAGUUUACUUUGAAAAAAUUAGGGUGUUUAAAGCAGGCGAAAAGGCUUCGGAAUAUAUUAGCAUGGGAUAAUAGAAUACGAUCUAGGUCGUAAUUUGUUGGUUUCUACGGCUUAGGUAAUGAUUGACAGGGAUAGUUGGGGUCGCUCGUAUUGAGUUGUCAGAGGUGAAAUUCUAGGAUUAACUCAAGACGAACUAAUGCGAAAACAUUCGGCAAGGAUGUUUUCAUUAAUCAAGAACGAAAGUUGGGGGAUCGAAGAUGAUCAGAUACCGUCGUAGUCUCAACUGUAAACUAUGUCGACCGAGGAUCCGGUAGCGUUACAUGGAUGACCUUCCGGGCACUCUGUGAGAAAUCAUAAGUAUUUGGAUUUCGGGGGGAGUAUGGUCGCAAGGCUGAAACUUAAAGGGAUUGACGGAAGGGCACCACCAGGAGUGGAAUCUGCGGCUUAAUUGACCCAACACGGGAAAACUUACCAGGUCCGGACACAGUGAGGAUUGACAGAUUGAGAGCUCUUUCCUGAUUUUGUGGGUGGUGGUGCAUGGCCGUUUUUAGUUGGUGGAGUGAUUUGUCUGGUUAAUUCCGUUAACGAACGAGACCUUAACCUAUUAAAUAGCUGCGCGAACCCAGGUUCUUUAACCAUUCUCUCCUUCGGGGGGGCGUGGUAUCAUUAUUUUGCUUUUCACUUUCGGGUGGGAGGUAGGGUAGUGAUAGGGCCUGAGAUGAGUUGGUGAUUUGGCUUCUUAGAGGGACUACUUGCAUCCUUAGCAAGGGGAGGUUUGAGGCAAAAACAGGUCUGUGAUGCCCUUCGAUGUUCUGGGCUGCACGCGCGUUACACUGGCGCAUGCAAAGAGUUUAAAAUUCCUGUCCCGAUGGGGUUGGGAAAUCUUUUUAAAGUGCGUCGUGAUGGGGAUAGAGCAUUGAAAUUAUUGCUCUUGAACGAGGAAUUCCUAGUAAUUGCAGGUCAUCAACCUGCAAUGAUUACGUCCCUGCCCUUUGUACACACCGCCCGUCGCUCCUACCGAUGGUUGAACCGAUGAGGACUCGGGAUGAUCUUAUUAGAUCGGUCGGUCGAAAGAUCGAUAGACUAUUAGGUCAGAACUUGUUCAAAUCUUUUUAA